Molecule: ribosomal RNA, 433 nt
Filed under: uncultured bacterium
Lineage: Bacteria
Description: partial 16S ribosomal RNA
Rfam family: Bacterial small subunit ribosomal RNA
Source: RNAcentral
AACGAACGCUGGCGGCAUGCCUAACACAUGCAAGUCGAACGAUGCCUUCGGGCAUAGUGGCGCACGGGUGCGUAACGCGUGGGAAUCUGCCUUUCGGUUCGGAAUAACUCAGGGAAACUUGAGCUAAUACCGGAUAACGUCGCAAGACCAAAGAUUUAUCACCGAAAGAUGAGCCCGCGUAGGAUUAGCUAGUUGGUGAGGUAAAGGCUCACCAAGGCGACGAUCCUUAGCUGGUCUGAGAGGAUGAUCAGCCACACUGGGACUGAGACACGGCCUAGACUCCUACGGGAGGCAGCAGUGGGGAAUAUUGGACAAUGGGCGAAAGCCUGAUCCGGCAAUGCCGCGUGAGUGAUGAAGGCCUUAGGGUUGUAAAGCUCUUUUACCCGGGAAGAUAAUGACGGUACCGGGAGAAUAAGCCCCGGCUAACUCCGUG